Molecule: ribosomal RNA, 330 nt
Filed under: uncultured eukaryote
Lineage: Eukaryota
Description: partial 18S ribosomal RNA
Rfam family: Eukaryotic small subunit ribosomal RNA
Source: RNAcentral
CCCUUAGAUGUUCUGGGCCGCACGCGCGCUACACUGAAGGAAUCAGCACGUCUUUCUCCUUGUCCGAAAGGACUGGGUAACCCGCUGAACCUCCUUCGUGCUAGGGAUUGGGGCUUGUAAUUUUUCCCCAUGAACGAGGAAUUCCCAGUAAGCGCGAGUCAUAAGCUCGCGUUGAUUACGUCCCUGCCCUUUGUACACACCGCCCGUCGCUACUACCGAUUGGAUGGUUUAGUGAGAUCCUCGGAUCGGUCCCGGAGCGGCCUGUGCUUGCGCCGGAGUGCUGAAAAGAAUGUCGAACUUGAUCAUCUAGAGGAAGUAAAAGUCGUAACA